GACGAACGCUGGCGGCGUGCUUAACACAUGCAAGUCGAGCGGUAAGGCCCUUUCGGGGGUACACGAGCGGCGAACGGGUGAGUAACACGUGGGUGACCUGCCCUCAGCUCUGGGAUAAGCCUGGGAAACUGGGUCUAAUACUGGAUAUGACUCCACGGUGCAUGUCGUGGGGUGGAAAGCCUUGUGCGGCUGAGGAUGGGCCCGCGGCCUAUCAGCUUGUUGGUGGAGNGAUGGCCUACCAAGGCGACGACGGGUAGCCGGCCUGAGAGGGCGACCGGCCACACUGGGACUGAGACACGGCCCAGACUCCUACGGGAGGCAGCAGUGGGGAAUCUUGCGCAAUGGGCGAAAGCCUGACGCAGCGACGCCGCGUGA
RNAcentral lists this ribosomal RNA (375 nucleotides) under uncultured bacterium. RNAcentral's name for it is "bacterial SSU rRNA". It matches the Rfam family "Bacterial small subunit ribosomal RNA", at positions 28 to 404 of the family's 1533-position model. The record is from RNAcentral.